Molecule: ribosomal RNA, 492 nt
Filed under: uncultured bacterium
Lineage: Bacteria
Description: partial 16S ribosomal RNA
Rfam family: Bacterial small subunit ribosomal RNA
Source: RNAcentral
AGUGAACGCUGGCGGUAGGCCUAACACAUGCAAGUCGAACGGCAGCACAGUAAGAGCUUGCUCUUACGGGUGGCGAGUGGCGGACGGGUGAGGAAUACAUCGGAAUCUACUUUUUCGUGGGGGAUCACGUAGGGAAACUUACGCUAAUACCGCAUACGACCUACGGGUGAAAGCAGGGGAUCUUCUGACCUUGCGCGAUUGAAUGAGCCGAUGUCGGAUUAGCUAGUUGGCGGGGUAAAGGCCCACCAAGGCGACGAUCCGUAGCUGGUCUGAGAGGAUGAUCGGCCACACUGGAACUGAGACACGGUCCAGACUCCUACGGGAGGCAGCAGUGGGGAAUAUUGGGCAAUGGGCGCAAGCCUGAUCCAGCCAUACCGCGUGGGUGAAGAAGGCCUUCGGGCUGUAAAGCCCUUUUGUUGGGAAAGAAAGGCAGCAGGUUAAUACCCCGCUGUUCUGACGGUACCCAAAGAAUAAGCACCGGCUAACUUCGUG